AGAGGGACUUUCAGCAGCUGGAGAGUCCCUGCCCCAACUCACAGAAUCCUCCCUCCUUCCACUUUCCAUCCCAGACCCCCUGGAGGAGAAAAGCCAGGGGCUCAGGCCCUCUGUGGGGCUGGCUGUGCACAAACCUCUCAAGGCUCCGGGACACCUGGCGAUGUUUCUGUGCUUCAGGAAGCUGGGAAUCAGCAAUACCUUUUGAAGACAAGUGUGCACACACUAUAAAUAGGUGUCAUGGAGGAGACAAAGACUUCCUUCUGGUGAUGAUCAUUGGAUCAAUACACAUAAACUGGUGCAAAGGACCAAGGGAAGGAAGCUGAAUGAGGAGGACGCAGGUGCGUCUUGGCAGUCCCAGAAAUGCAGCAAGGAAGGGGGGACAUUCAUACCCAACCAGGACGAGUUGCUCAGCUGGCCAUAUGCAUGUCAUUUAAGGGAA
This 439-nucleotide long non-coding RNA is filed under the name Ictidomys tridecemlineatus (thirteen-lined ground squirrel). RNAcentral's name for it is "lncRNA (ENSSTOG00000032404.1)". Lineage: Eukaryota; Metazoa; Chordata; Mammalia; Rodentia; Sciuridae. The record is from RNAcentral.